GCACCACUAGGUCAAGUGAUCCAAACUCUCUAUGCCUCAUUCUACUCAUCUGCAAAACACCAACACUCCUUCUGUGACUCGCCUGCCUGCCACUGUUACCUGCAAAGAUGCUGUGAAGACAUGGGGCCCACCUGGAUAAUCCAGGACACUCUUCCCACCUUACAGUCAGCAGGGAAGGAAACAGCCUCAAAGAGAACCAAUGCUUUGCCCAAGGCCACUUGGCACUAAAGCAGAAAAAAUGGCCCCAAACCCAGAUUUUCUGAAGUCCAGCACUUUCUGCACCGUGUGUUGGGCCCCAAUUUCAAAGAUGACAAAGCUUCAGGACCUGUUUCAGUUUUGUUUUACGAAUGGAUUUGGCAAAGGAAGAAGGCAGUACAGUUAAUCCUGGCUGCAGCCGCUGGAAAAUUUGCUACACCCUCCUCAGUGCUAGCUGUGUAUUGAAUUUGGAACCUCAAACAAAGCUUGGUAGAAGGAAGACAAAAAAGCUUCCGUUUACACUCCAUUUUGGUUCCCCCUUUGACUUCAAAGAAAGGAAAGAGAAGGAGGAAAUUCACAUUUUUGUCAUUGUUACAGUCACUUUAAUUAUGCAACGUUUUGUUAUGAAACACAGUUUUCUUUUUAUGAAAUAGUGCAGCCCUUUGGAAGCAGUGAAAAUGCUAAGUUCAGAAAAUUUUACACGGCACACCAUUGAUAUGUAUGAUGAUAGAAGAAUAAUUAAGAUGCUGUAUCUUAAUUAUCUGGUAGCAGAAAUAUAAGUCUCCUAGUCUCAAGAUUUCAAACAGUAAGCAGUGGACUGUACAAGAUCACGAGGCAGUCACCCCCUGUCUGCUCUGUUCCCUCUCCUCUACAAUUCUUGGAGAAAGCUGUAUAGGUUGGGUUGUCCUCAAAACUUUAGACAUAUGUGAAAUACACAGGAUUUUGGA
Molecule: long non-coding RNA, 923 nt
Organism: Pongo pygmaeus (Bornean orangutan)
Lineage: Eukaryota; Metazoa; Chordata; Mammalia; Primates; Hominidae
Exons: 3
Source: RefSeq, a predicted model, not a curated record